RNAcentral lists this ribosomal RNA (478 nucleotides) under uncultured bacterium. RNAcentral describes it as "partial 16S ribosomal RNA". It matches the Rfam family "Bacterial small subunit ribosomal RNA", at positions 28 to 507 of the family's 1533-position model. The record is from RNAcentral.
GAUGAACGCUGGCGGCGUGCUUAACACAUGCAAGUCGAACGGGAAUUAUUUUAUUGAAACUUCGGUCGAUUUAAUUUAAUUCUAGUGGCGGACGGGUGAGUAACGCGUGGGUAACCUGCCUUAUACAGGGGGAUAACAGUCAGAAAUGGCUGCUAAUACCGCAUAAGCGCACAGAGCUGCAUGGCUCAGUGUGAAAAACUCCGGUGGUAUAAGAUGGACCCGCGUUGGAUUAGCUUGUUGGCAGGGUAACGGCCUACCAAGGCGACGAUCCAUAGCCGGCCUGAGAGGGUGAACGGCCACAUUGGGACUGAGACACGGCCCAGACUCCUACGGGAGGCAGCAGUGGGGAAUAUUGCACAAUGGGGGAAACCCUGAUGCAGCGACGCCGCGUGAAGGAAGAAGUAUCUCGGUAUGUAAACUUCUAUCAGCAGGGAAGAUAGUGACGGUACCUGACUAAGAGGCCCCGGCUAACUACGUG